UGACAUUGCUCUUGGGUGGUCUCUGAUGGC
RNAcentral lists this non-coding RNA (30 nucleotides) under Mus musculus (house mouse). The record is from RNAcentral. Lineage: Eukaryota; Metazoa; Chordata; Mammalia; Rodentia; Muridae.